This 753-nucleotide ribosomal RNA is filed under the name Aphelenchoides sp. Ap131. RNAcentral's name for it is "SSU rRNA". It matches the Rfam family "Eukaryotic small subunit ribosomal RNA", at positions 911 to 1687 of the family's 1831-position model. The record is from RNAcentral. Lineage: Eukaryota; Metazoa; Nematoda; Chromadorea; Rhabditida; Aphelenchoididae.
GUGAAUUCGAGGACCGUAGCGAGACGCACUAAAGCGAAGGCAUUUGCCAAGAGUGUUUUCAUCUAUCAAGAACGAAAGUCAGAGGUUCGAAGGCGAUUAGAUACCGCCCUAGUUCUGACCGUAAAUGAUGCCAACUACCAAUUCGCUUGUGGAUUCGAGUUCAUAAGCGAGCGGGUUUCCGGAAACGAAAGUCUUUCGGUUCCGGGGGAAGUAUGGUUGCAAAGCUGAAACUUAAAGGAAUUGACGGAAGGGCACCACCAGGAGUGGAGCUUGCGGCUUAAUUUGACUCAACACGGGAAACCUCACCCGGCCAGCACAUCGUGAGGAUUGACAGACCGAUAGCUCUUUCAUGAUUCGGUGGAUGGUGGUGCAUGGCCGUUCUUAGUUCGUGCUAACGAAGUGUCUGCUUUAUUGCGAUAACGAGCGAGACGCCGACUGCUAACUAGUGCGUCGAUUGAUUCGUUUGUCGACGAUCAUUUCUUAGCGGGAUUCGUGGUUCUUAGCCUCAAGAAAUGGCGCAAUAACAGGUCUGUGAUGCCCUUAGAUGUUCGGGGCCGCACGCGUGCUACAAUGGUGGUAUCAGCGUGAUUGUCCUACUCCGAGAGGAGAUGGCAAACAGUUGAGAUAUUAUUAUGGCUGGAAUUGAGUGUUGAAAUUUUCACUCAUGAACGAGGAAUUCCAAGUAAAUGCGAGUCAUCAACUCGCAUUGAUUACGUCCCUGCCCUUUGUACACACCGCCCGUCGCUCCCCGGG